Molecule: long non-coding RNA, 1257 nt
Organism: Hemicordylus capensis (graceful crag lizard)
Lineage: Eukaryota; Metazoa; Chordata; Lepidosauria; Squamata; Cordylidae
Exons: 2
Source: RefSeq, a predicted model, not a curated record
CCAGCACUACCUUCUAGACCCUCCCCUCAAGAAAGGACCGGAACCACCGCAACACAGUGCCUCCGAUUCCCAUACUCGAGAGGCGGCCCAGAAGGAUACCAUGGUCGAUGGUAUCGAACGCCGCCAAGAGGUCCAGCAGAACCAACAGGGACGCACUCCCCCUGUCUAGUUCCCGGUGUAGGUCAUCCACUAGAGCAGUGUUUCUCAACAGCCGGUCCGCGGACCGGCAGCGGUCCGCGGAGGCUUGAGUGCCGGUCCGCGACUAGGAAGGCAGGGCUCCAAACUGAAUACGCUUGUUUUUCUAUCCGCUUUUCUCUCCGCUGUAAAAGUUUUUCUCUCCCCGGAAAUUCCGAGGCUCCUGGAACGUCAGUGGCCAAUAGGGGUGGAGCAGGGGCGGGGCUUGUGCCGAGGCGGGAAGAUAGCCCAGUCAGUGAGUGAGUGAGUGGAGAAAUUGGGUGGUUGCUGGAAGGUGGUUUUUUGAGAUCUUUGAAGUCCCACGUUACGUGGGCUUAAAUAAGCCAGCAGUGCUGUGCAUGGCCACAGAGUUGGGAUGCUGCACAGAAGCACUGGCCUGCAAACAGAGGCAGUCCCCGGAUCCCAUCCCAUCCGCCCCCCGCGAAAAUGGCCCCGUUCCAUCUCCGAGCCGCGCGGUCUGAGGGCUGCGCCGACCUGCUGCGCCUCAUGAAGGAGCUUGCUAGAUAUGAAGAAAUGGAGGAUCAAGUAGUACUGACUGGGAAAGAUCUGCUUGCUUGAGGAUGGCUUUGGAGAACACCCUUUCUACCACUGUCUUGUUGCAGAAGUACCAAAAGUUUGUCAUCUCUUUGCCAUUCACAAAUACAGCCCCAAUAUUGCUUUUGGGAGAAAGUAAUGCAAGCAUUCAAAUAGUGCUUGAAUGUGUUCUAUUUUAAUGAUUCUUUUUUUAUAUACAUGUACUAAGAGUCUCCUUGGAAUUUGGGAAUGCAUACUUUCCAGUAAGCAGACAUGGCUCUUAUUUAUGGCUACAUGGAAAGGAAGAAUAUUGUUGGUUUUCAUACCAAGGUUUUAUUUUGAAUAUCUCAUUAUCAGACUUCUUCCUCUGCUCCUAAAAUAUUUGAAUAUAAUGUUCACAUUAACAUUGUGUGCAUUUUGAUAUGUAAAUAGUAUGUAAAUAAAAUACAGUUUAUUGUUUAACAAAUUUUAUUUUAUGACAUUAUUUAAUUUCUUAAUUAAUUUCUUGUGUAAAUAGUAUGUAAAUAAAAUAGUUUAUUGUUUAACAAA